RNAcentral lists this ribosomal RNA (279 nucleotides) under uncultured bacterium. RNAcentral describes it as "partial 16S ribosomal RNA". It matches the Rfam family "Bacterial small subunit ribosomal RNA", at positions 506 to 784 of the family's 1533-position model. The record is from RNAcentral.
UGCCAGCCGCCGCGGUAAUACGGAGGGUGCAAGCGUUGUUCGGAAUUAUUGGGCGUAAAGCGCGCGUAGGUGGUCAAAAAAGUCGGAUGUGAAAGCCCGGGGCUCAACCUCGGAAGUGCAUUCGAAACUAUUUGACUUGAGUCCUGGAGAGGGUAGCAGAAUUCCUGGUGUAGAGGUGAAAUUCGUAGAUAUCAGGAGGAAUACCGGUGGCGAAGGCGGCUACCUGGACAGUGACUGACACUGAGGUGCGAAAGCGUGGGUAGCAAACAGGAUUAGAUA